CCCCCUGCGGACGGCUCUGACGCGCGGUCCAGGCAUCGGUCGCCGGGACGGCGCCGAGCUGCCGGCGAGACCGAUCCGUGGCGUG
Molecule: non-coding RNA, 85 nt
Filed under: unclassified sequences
Description: c-di-GMP sequence
Rfam family: c-di-GMP-II-GAG riboswitch aptamer
Source: Rfam by way of RNAcentral